RNAcentral lists this long non-coding RNA (579 nucleotides) under Gallus gallus (chicken). RNAcentral describes it as "long non-coding RNA NONGGAT004109". Lineage: Eukaryota; Metazoa; Chordata; Aves; Galliformes; Phasianidae. The record is from RNAcentral.
AGAAAACUGAGUGCUCAUUUGUUUUAACAAUGGACUAGCUGUUCCCCAUCCUAUUUGCAACCUCCCAAGAAUGACAUAGCUGGAUCUGCCCACUGAGGACAUGCUGUGAUGUUCAGGCACUGACAGGUUCUCGAAGAAUGCCUUGUCAUAGGAUAACUUCGCAAAAUACCCCAAACUACUGGAGCUAAAGCCAGCCUGCUCCCUUCAAGUGCGUACUUCCUGAGGCCAUUUGCCAAACCAGCAAGUCCUGCUGAACUUCAAACCCUUGUGCCAAUUUCCAUUGUAUUAACUGUAGCUUUGAGUUUGCCUGACCCAGGCCUGAAUGGAUCAAAGCCCCGUGGUAGCUGUCAAACACAAAUAAGCAUAACUCAAAGGGUGACCGCUCACCCCAGCAAUGGAAAAGCAGCAAAAUACUGCUCUGAAACCUGCAAAAGCCAAGCAGGUAGAGAGGCUUCCUGGAAAACUAUCAGCACUGUCUGAGCUGAAACCGGGACAUGGGGAGGGUGCAGUGCAGUGCUUGCUCAAGUGAUGGCAAAUAAUUGGGUGCAUUCUGAUACAUUGGCUAAACAUGGUCCUGUG